Molecule: ribosomal RNA, 1259 nt
Filed under: Mediterraneibacter gnavus
Lineage: Bacteria; Bacillati; Bacillota; Clostridia; Lachnospirales; Lachnospiraceae
Description: partial 23S ribosomal RNA
Rfam family: Bacterial large subunit ribosomal RNA
Source: RNAcentral
UUGGUUAUGCUAAUAAGAGCGUAUGGUGGAUGCCUUGGCACUAAGAGCCGAUGAAAGACGUGAUAAGCUGCGAAAAGCUUCGGGGAGGAGCAAAUAUCCAUUGAUCCGGAGAUUUCUGAAUGGGGAAACCUACUUGAGAAGACCUCAAGUAUCCACAGCCCAAUCCAUAAGCUGUGGAAGGGAACCCGGUGAACUGAAACAUCUAAGUAGCCGGAGGAAGAGAAAACAACAUGUGAUUCCGUAAGUAGCGGCGAGCGAACGCGGAAGAGCCCAAACCGGAGUGCGUGCACUCCGGGGUUCGGACUGCAGGAUUGACGAGUGAGCCUAGUAGAAUGGUUUUGGGAAAGCCAGCCAGAGAGGGUGAAAGCCCCGUACACGAAAGGCAAGCGAGCAUGGCAGGAUCCAGAGUACCACGAGACACGUGAAACCUUGUGGGAAUGAGCGGGGACCACCCCGUAAGGCUAAAUACUCCUUAGUGACCGAUAGCGCAUAGUACUGUGAAGGAAAGGUGAAAAGGACCCCGGGAGGGGAGUGAAAGAGAACCUGAAACCAUAUGUUUACAAGCUGUGGAACAUCUUUAUAUGAUGAACCGCGUACUUUUUGUAGAACGGUCCGGCGAGUUACGCUGGCUGGCGAGGUUAAGGGCUGAAGGCCUGGAGCCGAAGGGAAACCGAGUCUGAACAGGGCGAAAUAGUCAGUCGGAGUAGACCCGAAACCGGGUGAUCUAUCCAUGUCCAGGUUGAAGUUGCCGUAAAAGGCAAUGGAGGACCGAACCCACAUCCGUUGAAAAGGGUGGGGAUGAGGUGUGGAUAGGGGAGAAAUUCCAAUCGAACCCGGAGAUAGCUGGUUCUCCUCGAAAUAGCUUUAGGGCUAGCCUCAUGCAAGUCUUACGGAGGUAGAGCACUGAAUUCCUAAGGGGGCGUCAAAGCUUACCAAGGGAUAUCAAACUCCGAAUGCCGUGUAGAUGGUGCAUGGGAGUCAGACUAUCCGAGAUAAGUUGGGUAGUCAAAAGGGAAAGAGCCCAGACCUACAGCUAAGGUCCCAAAAUGUGUGUUAAGUGGAAAAGGAUGUGGGAUUUCGAAGACAACUAGGAUGUUGGCUUAGAAGCAGCCAUCCAUUAAAAGAGUGCGUAAUAGCUCACUAGUCGAGAGGUCCUGCGCCGAAAAUGUCCGGGGCUGAAACACACUACCGAAGCUUGGGAAUUGACGAAUGUUAAUUGGUAGAGGAGCAUUCUUAACGGGGCGAAGCUGUACCGGAAG